AUUCAGAAGGCCAGGUCGACGACCGACGGGCCGAAUGUCCGCCGGAAAGAGCUGGACAGAUUCCCACAAUUGCCCCGAGGCGCCUUCCAUUCGGACUCAUUCACCGUGGUCGCUUUUGGACCUUGAGUUUCAUCUGGAAAGGGGGCAUCAAUGUGGUGUGGAGAGGAAGCGGGAACACGGCGUUGAGGUAGAGGAUCGGCCAUGAUCGUACUGAAAGGUGGAGCAGGCUCGAGGGGCCGAAUGGCCUGCUCCUUAGUCUGUACGACCCCCGAAACCACUGUCGAUUGUUGUAAAAAAAACCCAUCCGGUUCACCCAUGUCCCUUUUUAGGGGAGGGAAACCCGCCGUCCUUACCUGGUGUGACCCACACGUGACUCCAGGCCCACAGCCAUGUGGUCGACUCUUAACAGCCCUAAUAAUCGAGAGCGAGUCCG
This is a long non-coding RNA of Carcharodon carcharias (great white shark), 433 nucleotides long. RefSeq lists it as uncharacterized. Lineage: Eukaryota; Metazoa; Chordata; Chondrichthyes; Lamniformes; Lamnidae. The record is from RefSeq and is a predicted model, not a curated record. The transcript is spliced from 3 exons.